This 484-nucleotide ribosomal RNA is filed under the name uncultured bacterium. Its description in RNAcentral is "partial 16S ribosomal RNA". It matches the Rfam family "Bacterial small subunit ribosomal RNA", at positions 30 to 507 of the family's 1533-position model. The record is from RNAcentral.
AUUGAACGCUGGCGGCAGGCCUAACACAUGCAAGUCGAGCGGAUGAAGCGAGCUUGCUCCUGGAUUCAGCGGAGGACGGGUGAGUAAUGCCUAGGAAUCUGCCUGGUAGUGGGGGAUAACGUCCGGAAAUGGGCGCUAAUACCGCAUACGUCCUGAGGGAGAAAGUGGGGGAUCUUCGGACUUCACGCUAUCAGAUGAGCCUAGGUCGGAUUAGCUAGUUGGUGGGGUAAAGGCCUACCAAGGCGACGAUCCGUAACUGGUCUGAGAGGAUGAUCAGUCACACUGGAACUGAGACACGGUCCAGACUCCUACAGGGAGCAACAGUGGAGAAUAUUGGACAAUGGGCGAAAGCCUGAUCCAGCCAUGCCGCGUGUAUGAAGAAGGUCUUCGGAUUGUAAAGCACUUUAAGUUGGGGGGAAGGACAGUAAGUUAGUACCUUGCUGUUUUGACGUUACCAACAGAAUAAGCACCGGCUAACUUCGUG